Molecule: ribosomal RNA, 301 nt
Filed under: uncultured bacterium
Lineage: Bacteria
Description: partial 16S ribosomal RNA
Rfam family: Bacterial small subunit ribosomal RNA
Source: RNAcentral
CAGUCGCCGCGGUAAUACGAAGGGUGCAAGCGUUACUCGGAAUUACUGGGCGUAAAGCGUGCGUAGGUGGUGGUUUAAGUCCGUUGUGAAAGCCCUGGGCUCAACCUGGGAAUUGCAGUGGAUACUGGGUCACUAGAGUGUGGUAGAGGAUAGUGGAAUUUCCGGUGUAGCAGUGAAAUGCGUAGAGAUCGGAAGGAACAUCUGUGGCGAAGGCGACUAUCUGGGCCAACACUGACACUGAGGUACGAAAGCGUGGGGAGCAAACAGGAUUAGAUACCCCCGUAGUCCCUGUCUCUUAUAC